RNAcentral lists this ribosomal RNA (496 nucleotides) under uncultured bacterium. RNAcentral describes it as "bacterial SSU rRNA". It matches the Rfam family "Bacterial small subunit ribosomal RNA", at positions 73 to 560 of the family's 1533-position model. The record is from RNAcentral.
CGGGAGCUUGCUCCUGGUGGCGAGUGGCGAACGGGUGAGUAAUGCAUCGGAACGUACCCAGUCGUGGGGGAUAACUACGCGAAAGCGUAGCUAAUACCGCAUACGCCCUGAGGGGGAAAGCGGGGGACUCUUUCGGGAGCCUCGCGCGAUUGGAGCGGCUGAUGUCGGAUUAGCUAGUAGGUGAGGUAAAGGCUCACCUAGGCGACGAUCCGUAGCUGGUCUGAGAGGAUGAUCAGCCACACUGGGACUGAGACACGGCCCAGACUCCUACGGGAGGCAGCAGUGGGGAAUUUUGGACAAUGGGGGCAACCCUGAUCCAGCCAUGCCGCGUGAGUGAAGAAGGCCUUCGGGUUGUAAAGCUCUUUCAGUCGGGAAGAAACGGGUCGCUCUAAUAUGGCGAUCUAAUGACGGUACCGACAGAAGAAGCACCGGCUAACUACGUGCCAGCAGCCGCGGUAAUACGUAGGGUGCGAGCGUUAAUCGGAAUUACUGGGCG